This 320-nucleotide long non-coding RNA is filed under the name Jatropha curcas. RNAcentral's name for it is "long non-coding RNA (JCUR_LNC001127)". Lineage: Eukaryota; Viridiplantae; Streptophyta; Magnoliopsida; Malpighiales; Euphorbiaceae. The record is from RNAcentral.
ACGCAUCGUGUGCCUCGUAAUCUGCCCUUCAGAAACAUACGCAUCCAAGAAUUUUCUAUCAACAAGAUUUUUACCUUUGCCUUUCACUCCGAGAACCUCAAACGCACCGUUUUCAAACUCAGGUAACUCCUCAUCUUCCGUCCUCCCAAUCACCUGCUCUAUCGUCUCUCCUCCUUUUGACAUCUGUAUCCUCUCAGGCACCAUCCGCACACUUCCACCCUCGCAUAUGGAGCUCCGAAGCGUCUCACUGAAGAAACAACGGAACCAACCGGAAGAUCUAGCCGGAUUUGCAGGGAGGACGUCGAGGCGUCGGGUGAAAC